This is a non-coding RNA of Pteropus alecto (black flying fox), 119 nucleotides long. Lineage: Eukaryota; Metazoa; Chordata; Mammalia; Chiroptera; Pteropodidae. The record is from Rfam.
UUCUACAACCAUGCCACCCUGAACAAACCCGAUCCCAUCUGAUCUCGGAAGCUAAGCAGGGUGGGGACUGGUUAGUACUUGGAUGGGAGACCACCUAGGAAGAUCAGGUGCUAUAGGCA